Daphnia pulicaria is the source of this 344-nucleotide long non-coding RNA. RefSeq lists it as uncharacterized. The record is from RefSeq and is a predicted model, not a curated record. Lineage: Eukaryota; Metazoa; Arthropoda; Branchiopoda; Diplostraca; Daphniidae. The transcript is spliced from 2 exons.
AAAAAAGACGAAACAAAAGAUUUUGAUUCGGUCCCAACUUUUCUUUAGCAAUUUGGAAAUUUAAAUGUAACCGUACUUUAAGCAUUACCGAAGGAGGAUUCUCUAUUACACAAUUGAUUUAAUUGAACAACCCACUCCUACGGUCCUACCGACUGACUAACGAAUUGACUUUACGGAAUAUAUUCUAUAUCAGUGAAGCAAAGGGCAAAAUUUUUGAAGUUUUUCUGCAGGGAUGAGACAUUAAGCCCAUACAGGUAGCCGGCUCCAGACAACAUUUCGGCAUAAUGGACAGCAUUUCUCAGGCCACGUCAUCAGUACAAUGUAACGGGAAAAUAACUACGUCU